RNAcentral lists this ribosomal RNA (497 nucleotides) under uncultured bacterium. RNAcentral describes it as "partial 16S ribosomal RNA". It matches the Rfam family "Bacterial small subunit ribosomal RNA", at positions 28 to 507 of the family's 1533-position model. The record is from RNAcentral.
GAUGAACGCUGGCGGCGUGCCUAAUACAUGCAAGUCGAGCGAACAGACGAGGAGCUUGCUCCUCUGACGUUAGCGGCGGACGGGUGAGUAACACGUGGAUAACCUACCUAUAAGACUGGGAUAACUUCGGGAAACCGGAGCUAAUACCGGAUAAUAUAUUGAACCGCAUGGUUCAAUAGUGAAAGUCGGUUUUGCUGUCACUUAUAGAUGGAUCCGCGCCGCAUUAGCUAGUUGGUAAGGUAACGGCUUACCAAGGCGACGCUGCGUAGCCGACCUGAGAGGGUGAUCGCCCACACUGGAACUGAGACACGGUCCAGACUCCUACGGGAGGCAGCAGUAGGGAAUCUUCCGCAAUGGGCGAAAGCCUGACGGAGCAACGCCGCGUGAGUGAUGAAGGUCUUCGGAUCGUAAAACUCUGUUAUUAGGGAAGAACAAAUGUGUAAGUAACUAUGCACGUCUUGACGGUACCUAAUCAGAAAGCCACGGCUAACUACGUG